Molecule: ribosomal RNA, 253 nt
Filed under: uncultured bacterium
Lineage: Bacteria
Description: partial 16S ribosomal RNA
Rfam family: Bacterial small subunit ribosomal RNA
Source: RNAcentral
UACGGGGGGGGCAAGCGUUGUUCGGAAUUACUGGGCGUAAAGGGCUCGUAGGCGGCCAACUAAGUCGGAUGUGAAAUCCCCAGGCUUAACCUGGGAACUGCAUCCGAUACUGGAUGGCUUGAAUCCGGGAGAGGGAUGCAGAAUUCCAGGUGUAGCGGUGAAAUGCGUAGAUAUCUGGAGGAAUACCGGUGGCGAAGGCGGCAUCCUGGACCGGCAUCGACGCUGAGGAGCGAAAGCUAGGGGAGCAAACGGG